GACUGGAUAGGAAGAUAAAAGGCAUCUUUUAUCUUUUAAAAGACCUAGUAAUAGGUAUGCUUUAGGAGGGGCUUGCGCCAUAUUAGUUAGUUGGUAGGGUAAUGGCCUACCAAGACGAUGAUGUGUAGCUGGACUGAGAGGUUGAACAGCCACUUUGGGACUGAGACACGGCCCAAACUCCUACGGGAGGCAGCAGUAGGGAAUUUUCGGCAAUGGAGGAAACUCUGACCGAGCAACGCCGCGUGAAUGACGAAGUACUUCGGUAUGUAAAGUUCUUUUAUCAAGGAAGAAAAGCAAAUGGCGAACCAUUUGUUUGCCGGUACUUGAUGAAUAAGCCCCGGCUAAUUAUGUGCCAGCAGCCGCGGUAAGACAUAAGGGGCAAGUGUUAUCCGGAAUUAUUGGGCGUAAAGGGUGCGUAGGCGGUCUAGUAAGUCAGUGGUGUAAUGGCAACGCUUAACGUUGUCCGGCUAUUGAAACUGCUAAACUUGAGUUAGAUAGAGGCGAGUGGAAUUCCAUGUGUAGCGGUAAAAUGCGUAAAUAUAUGGAGGAACACCAGAGGCGUAGGCGGCUCGCUGGGUCUUAACUGACGCUGAGGCACGAAAGCGUGGGGAGCAAACAGGAUUAGAUACCCUGGUAGUCCACGCCGUAAACGAUGAGUACUAAGUGUCGGGUUAAACCGGUACUGAAGUUAACACAUUAAGUACUCCGCCUGAGUAGUACGUACGCAAGUAUGAAACUUAAAGGAAUUGACGGGACUCCGCACAAGCGGUGGAUCAUGUUGUUUAAUUCGAAGAUACCCGAAAAACCUUACCAGGUCUUGACAUGUUUUUGCAAAAUGAUAGUAAUAUCGUGGAGGUUACCAGAAACACAGGUGGUGCAUGGUUGUCGUCAGCUCGUGUCGUGAGAUGUUAGGUUAAGUCCUAAAACGAGCGAAACCCUUAUCGUUAGUUGCCAGCACGUUAUGGUGGGGACUUUAACGAGACUGCCAAUGAUAAAUUGGAGGAAGGUGAGGAUCACGUCAAAUCAGCAUGCCCCUUAUGACCUGGGCUACAAACGUGAUACAAUGGCUGUUACAAAGGGUAGCUGAAACGCAAGUUCUUGGCCAAUCCCCAAAAACAGUCCCAGUCCGGAUUGAAGUCUGCAACUCGACUUCAUGAAGUUGGAAUCGCUAGUAAUCGCGAAUCAGCAUGUCGCGGUGAAUACGUUCUCGGGGUUUGUACACACCGCCCGUCAAAC
Molecule: ribosomal RNA, 1236 nt
Filed under: 'Bambusa tulda' phytoplasma
Lineage: Bacteria; Bacillati; Mycoplasmatota; Mollicutes; Acholeplasmatales; Acholeplasmataceae
Description: bacterial SSU rRNA
Rfam family: Bacterial small subunit ribosomal RNA
Source: RNAcentral